RNAcentral lists this ribosomal RNA (497 nucleotides) under uncultured bacterium. Its description in RNAcentral is "partial 16S ribosomal RNA". It matches the Rfam family "Bacterial small subunit ribosomal RNA", at positions 28 to 507 of the family's 1533-position model. The record is from RNAcentral.
GAUGAACGCUGGCGGCGUGCCUAAUACAUGCAAGUCGAGCGAACGGACGAGAAGCUUGCUUCUCUGAUGUUAGCGGCGGACGGGUGAGUAACAAGUGGAUAACCUACCUAUAAGACUGGGAUAACUUCGGGAAACCGUAGCUAAUACCGGAUAAUAUUUUGAACCGCAUGGUUCAAAAGUGAAAGACGGUCUUGCUGUCACUUAUAGAUGGAUCCGCGCUGCAUUAGCUAGUUGGUAAGGUAACGGCUUACCAAGGCAACGAUGCAUAGCCGACCUGAGAGGGUGAUCGGCCACACUGGAACUGAGACACGGUCCAGACUCCUACGGGGGGCAGCAGUAGGGAAUCUUCCGCAAUGGGCGAAAGCCUGACGGAGCAACGCCGCGUGAGUGAUGAAGGUCUUCGGAUCGUAAAACUCUGUUAUUAGGGAAGAACAUAUGUGUAAGUAACUGUGCACAUCUUGACGGUACCUAAUCAGAAAGCCACGGCUAACUACGUG